Molecule: unclassified non-coding RNA, 344 nt
Filed under: Hevea brasiliensis (rubber tree)
Lineage: Eukaryota; Viridiplantae; Streptophyta; Magnoliopsida; Malpighiales; Euphorbiaceae
Source: RNAcentral
AAAACUUCGAAUUCGUUCGGCGCCGGGGGGAGGCAUAAACCCACUGCUCUGCGACGGUCGACAAAGAUAAAGUUAAAGAGUCGGCAGUUCACUUGAAGGUCGCAGAAACACUGCUGCUUCAGUAACCAUAAGAGCUUCUUGGAAUUGAUUGAGGUAAUUUUUACAAUUUGGGUUCUAGGGUUUCUGGAAUACCAUGUCAACCGGCAGGCUGAAGGACGGGGAACGUCGGCUGGUGAUUCCGAUGCCUCCCAAACCAAAACCUGAAACGCAGUUGGCCACAACUGAGUCGAACGCGCUUGUGGAAUAUACGCCGCCGGUGAAGGAGGAGGAUGAGGAUUUGGAGG